AACGAACGCUGGCGGCAUGCCUAACACAUGCAAGUCGAACGAGACCUUCGGGUCUAGUGGCGCACGGGUGCGUAACGCGUGGGAACCUGCCCUUAGGUUCGGAAUAACUCCCCGACAGGGGUGCUAAUACCGGAUAAUGUCUUCGGCCCAAAGAUUUAUCGCCUUUGGAUGGGCCCGCGUUGGAUUAGCUAGUUGGUAGGGUAAAAGCCUACCAAGGCGACGAUCCAUAGCUGGACUGAGAGGAUGAUCAGCCACACUGGGACUGAGACACGGCCCAGACUCCUACGGGAGGCAGCAGUGGGGAAUAGUGGACAAUGGGCGAAAGCCUGAUCGAGCAAUGCCGCGUGAGUGAUGAAGGCCUUAGGGUUGUAAAGCUCUUUUACCCGGGAUGAUAAUGACAGUACCGGGAGAAUAAGCCCCGGCUAACUCCGUG
RNAcentral lists this ribosomal RNA (433 nucleotides) under uncultured bacterium. RNAcentral's name for it is "partial 16S ribosomal RNA". It matches the Rfam family "Bacterial small subunit ribosomal RNA", at positions 29 to 507 of the family's 1533-position model. The record is from RNAcentral.